Molecule: long non-coding RNA, 8089 nt
Organism: Stegostoma tigrinum
Lineage: Eukaryota; Metazoa; Chordata; Chondrichthyes; Orectolobiformes; Stegostomatidae
Exons: 3
Source: RefSeq, a predicted model, not a curated record
GCGACUUAUUAAAAAAUAACAAAAGAACUGGGAUGUUGUCAAUCAGGAACAAAAACAAAGUUGCUGGAAAAGCUCAGCAGGUCUGGCAGCAUCUGUGAAGGUAAAAAGACAGAUCCAGUUUUCAGUCUCAUUCGUCUCAAAAUGCAACAUUGCGACGACGUUCAUUUGCUUCCAACAAUAACACAAAGCACUGCGCAUGCUCCAGCUCACAGUGAAGUCCGGCUGAUUGAUGUCAGUGCGCGACCAAUAGGAGCACAGGUGUGCCGUGCAUGACCGGACGGAUGUCGCCCAAUCGGAAUGAAGGGAGGGCGGGAUCAGUGAAAACCACGUGAUCAUCCACGAGUGCGGUGCAGAGUCGCUGAGAUAACCGGAACUGCAGAUGCUGGAGAAUCCGAGAUAACACGGUGUGCAGCUGGAUGUACACAGCAGGAAAGCUGACGUUUCGGGCCUAGAUCCUUCGCUGAGACCAAGAUUUGUGCAAUUGAGAUACCAGCGAUCGUUGCCAAAGCCCUGUUACCUGUGGAGAAGGUGAUGUUUAACUUUCGUGUGCUACUGCAGUUUGUAUGAUAAAGGUGCUCUCUCAAUGCUCCAUUUGAGAAGUUACAGAUCAUUCAUCUAGCGAUACUGAAGAGCUACUGAAGAGCUAAUGGUGAUAUUACAAGUGGACUUUCAGGUAGGAAGCUCAAUAAUUGUAACACCAAACUCUGACAGAAUUACUCAAUUCAUCAGGACCUGGAUAUUCGCAUUGUGUGAGAGUAUUGUGUUCCUGCUCAUUCCCAUUUGCCAUGUAAAAUUUCUCUCUUAUUACUCCAUUCUCUCAAUAGAUCUUUCCUACAACUUUCAAUAUAUGUCCUGUAGUCCUUUUUUAUGGCCAGUUGUGUACGUUUUACCAUUCUAAUGUUUAUCUUUUGUAAACACCUCCUAUCAAAGGUCCCCUCAAAAUCCUUUGUUACAAGGAGAUCAAUCUCCGUUUCCCCAAGCACCUGAUUACCCAAUGACAGUUUGCUUCUUGUGUGUGAGGCACUCAUCCACUUUUCAUUUCCACUUACCUGCAUGAGUACAGCCCCAACAAUAUUAAAGGAAGUUAACAUCCUCCAGAUGAAGCAGUGUCGGAGUGGUGUCCCAUCCACCACAUUCAACAUUCCCCUCUACACCACUGAGGCAAAGUGGCAUCACUGUGCCUAAGGUGAAGUCACCAUUAUCCUACCUGACCAUAGGGCUAGUUUAACCUGAAGAUUACCACACCCCAGGCAAGGGGAGAGGUUGAGAAUGAGAGUCCAUCUAUUGUCGAUGGAUAUUCUCAAUAUGUACCAGCAAUACCUAAGUCACAUGAAAUUAUAACUUUUAAAAAAAACCCUAUCCAUGCAACUAAAAACCCUCUUCGUACAAACCAUUCUGUUAAAUCUCCUCUGCCCCCUAUCAGGGACCCUCCCGUCCUUCACGGUGUGUGGGGGAUCUUUGGUUUGCACAGACUCAGCUCGUCUCUGUUCCUGUCUGUGAUGUCAUCAUGCUGUGACAAUGGCACUGAGCCUCACUCUCUGUGAGGGUGGUAGGCACAGAGAUCCUCAUAGCGUUUAAGGCAUAUUUAGAUGCACACUUGUGAUGCCAACACAGACAAGUGUAUGGGCCAAGUGCUGGAAAAUUAGAUUAGAAUAGUUAGGGUGUGGUUUUUAACCAGCCCAGGCUGUAUGGGCCACAAAGCCUUUUUCUGUGCUGUAGACCUCCGAGACUCUUCACAUAGGAAGAUGCCCAGCAAUAUUUCAAGUUAUUUCAGAAAAUGAGAUAUUAGACUAAAUGACUCAUGAUUGGUCAGUGUUUUCGGGAGUAAAGUGAGGUAUAGAGGGAAAGCGGUUGACUUCAAUUCUGGGGCCUGAAGCCCAGGAAAUUGAAAGUGCUGCCAUCAUGUGGAUGAAUAAAAAUAAGGAUUGUAUUGGAGGAAAGAAAUAUCGUUCUUGUAUCACUGAUCUGUGAGGCUGGAUGAUAUGAGAGACAGGAAGGGUUCUGAGACUGGAGAAGACUACAAAAAUAGAGAAAAGUGAGCUUGGAGGAGAUUACAGAAAUGGGGAAGAUUGUGAGGCUGGAGGAGACCAGACAGAGGGAGUUUGUGACGGUAAAGACAAUUAUAGAGCUAAAGAAGUUUGUGGGCUGGAGGAGAUGACAGAUAAGGUGGUCUGUGAGACUGGAGGAAUCUAGAUAGAUGGUGUGAGUUGAGGCUGGAGGGGGAUUCCAACGAUAGGCAGGUCAUGAGGCUGGAGAGGGAUUCCACAGAUGUGAAGGGUGUUGAGACUCGAGAAUGAUGCCUGCAACAAUGCAGGUAGUGAGGCUUGAGGGCAUGAUCUGGAGGGUAGUGAGGUCUGAGGUAUGAUUCCUGCAGUAGGGAGGGUAGUGAGGCUCCAGGGUGGAUUAUUAUCAUAACAGCACAGUGGUGUACUUACAGCAGAUGGAGUGCAGCAGUAAUAGAAAGUACCACUUUCUCCAAAUUGAAUAAAAGUGGAAAUCAAUAUUAGCCUGUGCAGCAAAGGCCACAUCCCAUAAGUCAAUUAAAAUUGAUGGGUCUCUGGUUUGGAGAGAGUGAACAAAAGCUCAGGUAAUUCUCCAUUGUAGCAAUGUUUGGUAACCGUGGAGUACAACAUUCAGAUAAUUGGCAAAAAAUGCAGAGUGAAAAUGUGAAGAGUGUUUGACUCAGCAAGUUCCCAGGAUCUGGAACAGUCUGAAUGGCAGCUGGAUGCAGAUUUAGCAGUUAUUCUCAAAAAAGAGUUUGGAUUUAACUUUUCAAGGAAUGAUGGGCAAAUGGUGGGGGAAUUGUUUCAGUUUUGCAGCACCUCCAGAGUGAGAGUGAAGCCUUUGACACGAUUCCACAUGGUAGACUGAUACGUAAAGUUAGAUCACAUGUGAUUCAGGAAGAGCUCGCUAAUUGGAAGCGGAAUUGGCUCAGUUGGAGGAGAGACGGUGGUGCUGGAGGAUUUUUCAGAGUGGAGUUCUGUGACCAGCAUGUUCCACAGCAUUUGGCACAGGGUCCACUUUUGUUUCUCAUUUAUAUUAAUGAUUUGGAUGAGAAUUUAAGGGACAAGAUUAGUAAGUUUGCAGAUGAUACUAGAAUUAGUGGUAUGAAAUGUUGGUAUAGUGGUCAGUGAAGGUUAUCGAAGAUGACAGCAAGAUCUUGAUCAAUUAUGUCAAUGGGUUGAGGAGUGGAGGAUGAAGUUCAAUUUGAAUAAAUGUGAGACAUUGUAUUUUGGUAAAAUGAACCGGGUAGGACUUGCACAAUUGAUGGUUGCACCCAGGGUAGUGUUGUGGAACAGAGAAAUGCUGAGAUUCAAGUGCAUAAUUCUUUGAAGUUUAUGUAGACAAGUAGACAGAGUGAUUAAUAAGUUGUUUAGCUCACUUCCUUUCAUUGCUCAGACCUUAGAGUCUCAGAGUUGGGAUGUUAUGUUGAGGUUGUACAGGACAUUGUUUUGGCUUCAUUUGAGGUAUUGUGUGCAGCUCUGGUCGCCCUGUUACAGGAAGGACAUUAUUAUUAAACUGGAGACAGUUCAGAAUAGACUUGCUGGGAUGUUGCCAGGAAUGGAGGGCUUGAUUAUCAAAUAGACGGCCAAAGCUGGCACUUUUCUCACUGCAGCAUAAUGGGUUAACGAGUGGCCUUGGAGGUUCAUAAAAUCAUGAGGGCACAGAUUAUGCAAAUAGCAAGGGUUUAUUCACAAGGUUGGCUGAUUUCAAGACAAGCGGACAUGUGUGUAAGGUGAGAGGAGAAAGACAUAUUUAAAAAGACAUGAGGGAAACUUUUAUUUUUAUGGAGUUUUCCAUGUGUGGAACAAACUUUCAGAGGAAGUGGCAGAUACAGGUACAGCCACGUUGUUUAAAAGACAUUUGAAUUAGGACAUAGACAAGAGAGGUUUAGAGGAGUAUAUGCCAGAUGCAGGCAGAUGUGAUCAGUUUAAAAUAAAACUUAUUUAUUUAAUAUACAUUUCAAAAUUCUAAAUUGGAGUAAGGCCAACUUUGACAUUGUUGGGCAAGAACUUGCAAAAGAUGAUCCAGAGAGGUAAUAUGCAGGUCAAGGAAUGCUUGGAAAGUGGGAGGUCUUCAAAACUAAAAUAAGGAGAGCCCAGACACAAUAUGUUCCUGUUCAUGUGAAGGGCAAGGCUGGUAAAUGUAGGGGAUACUGGCUGACUGGAGAAAUUGAGGCUGUGGUCAAGAAAAAGGCGGCAGCACAUGUCGGGUAUUGACAGCAGGAAUUAGGUCAAUCCCUCGAAGUACAAGGGCAGUAGGAUUAUACUCGAGAAAUCAGGACGGCAAAAAGGAGACAUGAGCUAUCUUUGGCAAAUCAAGUUAAGGGGAAUCCCAAGAGAUUCUGAAACUUCAUUUGGGACAAAAAAGCAACUAGGGAGAAAAUAGGGCCCCUUUAAAGAUCAACGAGGCUGUCUGUGUGGAACUGCAGGCUGAGAUAGUGAAUGAGUAUUUCGCAUUAGUAUUUACUGCAGAGAAGGAUAUGGAAGUGAGAGAGCUUGGAAACAUAAAUAGUGAGUCGUGAGAAGUGUCUAUAUUACAGAGAUCUAGGUGCUAGAUGUCUUAAAAUGCAUAAAGGUGGAUAGGUUCCUGGCACCUGAUCAGGUGUUACCCACAAACUCUGGGAGAAGCUGGGGAAGCAAUUGCUGGCCCCUUGCUGAGGUAUUUGUAUCACUGACACUAGUGAAGUGCCAGAAGGCCGGGUGGCUAAUGUGGUGUCAUUCUUUAAGGAAAAGCCACGGGACCAUCGACCGUUGAGCCUGAUGUCAGUGGUGGGUAAGUUGCUGGUGGGGAUUCUGAGGGACAGGAUUUGCAUGUGUUUAGAGAAGCAAAGACUGAUUAGGGAUAGUCAACAUGGCUUUGUGAGUAGGAAAUCUUGUCUCAUUAACUUGAUUGCCUUCUUCGUCACUUCUUCAAAAAACUCAAAGCAGUGGACAUUGUCUAUUAUGGACUUCAGCAAGGCAUUCACCAAAGCUCCACAUGACAGAUUGGUUAGCAAGAUUAGAUCAAAUGGAACCCAGGGAGAGUUAGCUAUUUGAAACAAAAUUGGCUUGAAGGUAGGAGACAAGAUCAUGGUCAGCUGGGGGAGAGUGGAUUCAGUCUAGAUGACUAUGAACAGCAGUGUGCUGCAAGGAUCGGUGCUGGGUCCACUGCUUUUUUUUAAUCAUUGAUGCAAAUCAUGCGGAAUGAAUAUUGGAGGAAUGGUUAGUAAGUUUGCAGAUGACACUAAAAUUGUUGUUGUAGUAGACAGCAAAGGCGUUUACUUCCCAAGCACAAUGGGAACAUAAUCACAUGGGUUGAUGUGCCAAGGAGUGAUAGAAAUAAGUUUUUAGUUCAGAUAAAUGUGAGCAAUUGCAUUAUGGUAAUGCAAAUCAGCGCAGGACUUAAACAGUUAAUGAUGAGGCCCUGGGGACUGUUAUGCAACAGGGACUCCUUGGGGUGCAUGUGCACAGUUCCUUGAAGGUGGAUUGCAGGUACAGAAGGUAGUGAAGAUGAUAUUUGCUCUGCUUGCAUUUAUUGGUCAGUGCAUUGAGCGUAGGAGUUGGGAGGUCAAUGUUAUAGGCUGAACAAGGCAUUGAUUAUGCUGCUUUUGGAAUACUGUGUUCAGUUCUGGUCUCCCUGCUAUAGGAAUGAUGCUGUUGAACUUGGCAGGGUGCAGAAAAGAUUUACAAGGAUGUUGCAAGAGGUGGAAUUUUGAGCUGUAGGGAGAAGUUGAAUAUGCUGGGUCUAUUUUCCCUGGAGCAUUGAAGGCUGAGGGGUGACCUUAUAGAGGUUGUUAAAAUUAUGGUGGGCGUAGGGUGAAUGGCCAAGAUUGUUUUCCCAGGUUAGGGGAGACUAGAACUAAUAACAUUGGCUUUAGCCGAGAGGGAAAGUCUUAAAAGGGAACCAAAAGAACUGCAGAUGCCUUAAAUCUAAAAAAAAACAAAUUUGCUGGAAAAGCCUAGCAGGUUUGGCAGCAUCUGUGGAGGAGAGAAGAGUUUCGGGUUCUGAGGAAGGGUCACCGGUCCUGAAAUGUUAACUUUUUUUCCUCCUUAACAGAUGCUACAGGCCUGCUGAGCUUUUCCAGCGAAUUUGUUUUUUUUAAAAAGGGAAAGUGGGUGGUGCCUGUGUAGAAUGAGCUGCCAGAGGAACUGGUGGAAGCUGGUACAGUUACCCAUCCAGAUACCUUUUAAAUGUUGUAUGUGAAUAGGAAGGGUGUCGCAGAGUAUAGGUCAAAUGCUUGCAAAUGGGAUUAGAUUAAUUUGGGAUAUCUAGUCAGCAUGGACAACUGGGACCAAAGGGAUUGUUUUGUGCUGUACAAUGCUGAUGAAGCAUUUUUUGUUUUCAUUUCAGAUUCCCACAAUUUUACUUCUGCACUAUUCUUAGUCUUUCAGAGGGAUCGAAAGGUUGAGUUACAGAUCUAUACAAUGACUGUCCUUCCUCGCUGGCUUCCCCCACCUCUCUUUUGGUAGUUUUAUGCAAACACUGACUGGAUCCCUUACCUGGAGGAUAUUUAUGAAUGAAUUUGUUCUAAUGGUGAUCCAGCAUUUUCCCCAAGUAUCGCUCCACACAUGCCCAGAGAAUUUCUCAGUUUCACAAUCUGUGUCCUUCUGGUUUCUUACUCGCUACACUUAACUUUCUGUUUGAAAGUAUAGUCUGCAGUUGGAGAAUUUUAACAGGUCCACAUCCAGGUCUGACGGUCACUUUGUUUAUCACAACCCAAUUAUCUCAGGGUUUUGAACAUUGAAGGAAAACGCAGCACUCACAUUGGGGAGAAAUGCACAUGGUGUGUGUGUUGAAGAGUCUGUGAAGAUUCAUCUGAAAUGUCCGAACACCAGUGCAGUGACACUGGGAGACAGUGUGGAAAUGUGCAGAUUGCAGGAAGGAAUUUCUUCAUCCAUCCCAGCUAGAAACUGACCACCAGAGUCACACUGGAGAGAGACCAUUGGCCUGUUCUGCAUGAGGGAAAGGCUUUGCUGAUUCGAAUUCCCCGCUGAUACACCAGCGAGUUCACUCUGGGGAGAGACCUUUCAUGAGCUCUGAGUGUGGGAAGGGAUUCAUUGUCAUCCAAACUGUUAACACACCAGCGAGUUCACAGACAACCACAGUUGAAGAACUUUGCUGUCACUCUCACUAUCAAAUGAACCAUGGUUUUGGGCUGUUUGUACAGAUGUUACCGACCCCUGCUCAAUUAAAGGUGCUGGUAUUGUGAAUAAAAUGUCACACUAACAGUUGUGUAAGGUAGAGCUUGGAAAUAGUCACGUUGUCACAACACGUCGACACAUUCGCACUGACUAAAGACUAUCCACCUGCACGAUAUGUGAAAAGGGACUUGCUGGUUCAUCAGGACUGGUUAACUGCCAGCAAAUUUCUGAAUAAGUUGAUUGGUUUGAAUAUAGCUAACAGUAGAAUCAAAAAUAGUAUCAGUGAUAAUGGGAACUGCAGAUGCUGGAGAAUCCAAGACAACGAAGUGUGGAGCUGGAUGAACACAGCAGGCCAAGCAGCAUCUCAGGAGCACAAAAGCUGACUUUUCGGGCCUAGAGAAGGGUCAAGGCCUGAAACGUCAGCUUUUGUGCUCCUGAGAUGCUGCUUGACCUGUUGUGUUCAUCCAGCUCCACACAUUGUUAUAGUAGAUUCAAAAACCAUGUGUUUUGGGCUUGUUGCUGGAGAUCAUAGAAUCCCUCCAGUGUGGGAGCAGACCAUUUAGCCCAUCAUGUCCGCACUGACCUGACAAACAGUGUCUUACCCAGACACUGUCUGCGUGAGUUUCCUCCAGAUGCUCUGGUUUCCUCCCACAGUCCAAAACUGUGCAAAUUAUGUAGAUUGACUAUGCUAAAUUGCCCAUAGUAUCUUGUGUGCAAAAUGCAGGCAUAGGGUGGGUAGGGUGUGAGACUGGGUGGGAUGCUCUUUGCAGGGUUGAUAUUGACUGAAUGGCCAUCUUCCACACUGUAGGAAUUCUGUGAUGAUCUCGAUGGCCCUUUAUUUGUUAGACAGGUCUGCACACCUUUACAAUGACGGAUUCUGUUGCUCUCCACAGACAUUUGUUUAUUGGAAACAAUGUAAUCUUUCAUUUUGUGGAUAAAAAUCAAAGGAAAGUUUUAAAUCCAAA